AUGUGGUUUAAUUCGAAGCAACGCGAAGAACCUUACCAGAUCUUGACAUCCAAUUGACCAUCUUUUAUCGAGAUUUUGCCUUCGGGUACAAUUGAGACAGGUGGUGCAUGGUUGUCGUCAGCUCGUGUCGUGAGAUGUUGGGUUAAGUCCCGCAACGAGCGCAACCCUUGUGUUUAGUUGCAAACAGGUCAAGCUGUGCACUCUAGACAGACUGCCGUGGACAACACGGAGGAAGUGGGGAUGACGUCAAAUCAUCAUGCCCCUUAUGAUCUGGGCUACACACGUGCUACAAUGGCCGGUACAACGGGCAGCGAAGGAGCGAUCCGGAGCGAAUCCUAAAAAGCCGGUCCCAGUUCGGAUUGCAGGCUGAAACUCGCCUACAUGAAGUUGGAGUUGCUAGUAAUCGCGAAUCAGAAUGUCGCGGUGAAUGCGUUCCCGGGUCUU
RNAcentral lists this ribosomal RNA (444 nucleotides) under uncultured Fusibacter sp. RNAcentral's name for it is "bacterial SSU rRNA". It matches the Rfam family "Bacterial small subunit ribosomal RNA", at positions 939 to 1382 of the family's 1533-position model. The record is from RNAcentral. Lineage: Bacteria; Bacillati; Bacillota; Clostridia; Eubacteriales; Fusibacteraceae.